UUUAUCUACAUGCAAUAAUGCUUUUUCAGGACUGAAGUAACUAUGAAUUAAAACAUAAACCAAACCAUCAAAAACUGCAGUAGGAGUGUGUGGCAGAAUGCACCCUGUGUUGGGAUACCCUCCGAGACCUCUUUCUACUCAGCUUCCAAGAACUCAGUUCGACUCCAACCUUCGUCACUCAGUUUCUCUUUCUUAAGAUACCUAAAUGGCACUCCUGGUCUUCUGUGUUCCUGAUCUGCCUGAGCCUUCCCCGAGAAUCUCUCGCCCUUGGGGCCAGAUUCCACCAAAGGAGAUUAAUGGAUCCGGGUUGAGUCAUGGCACCACUUAUGUUUGGAUUCCCUCCGAGACCUCCUUCUACUAGUCUUCCCAAGAACUCAGUUCGGCUCCAGAUUUCGUCACUCAGGUCUCUCCUUCUCCCUUCCUGUUACAGACAUACAGUUCUCUGUCAUACAGCCAGGAUCAUAACCGAACUGUGUCAUUGGAUGGUUAGUAUUCCGUGAUUCUUUCAGCUCUCUCCUGGACAGAUUUUUCUGCUCCACCAGUGACCCAAACAGCAGCUGACAUUUAACAAGUUUUUGGCAGCAUCUGCAAUUUUUGACUUAUUCAGCUGUAGAGCUAUCAGGAGAUAAAGCUUUCCUGGGGGCUGGUCUGAGACUGUGGAAUGAAUGUCACCAGGAACGAAGGAUCAUCACAAACCUGACCAUCUUCUGUUCCAACUGCAAGGCUCAUUGCCGUCUCUAACAAAUUUAUAGCAACGCACAGUAUAAACCUACUGAAACAAGACAUUCCACUGCACAUGCUUCUCCCCCUGGGAAGGAUUAGAGGAUACACACGUGACAGAUGUUAGUCAUGUUGCUUAAUGCCUUACUAGAAGGCACUGAUACCAGAGUGAUAAAUGUGGUAUAAGAACCUAUCUAGAAUAGAAUAGUGUGUUGGCAAAUUCAGUAGGUGACAUUUCUCUGAGUUAGAACUGAACUGGUUAUCCAGCAUGAUAUGAAGGGGCAAGUCUGCUAUUGGAGGGUUGGUUUCAUAUCAAACUUAAAACAGAUUUCAUGGCAUUUUGUGGAGAAAUAUUAAUUCCAGUUUACUGGGUAAAUUUCACUAGAGCUAAUUACAUUGUGUGCAAUUACAAACUGAAUAAUGUUUGUGAUUUUCUAAAUUGUGGUGUAGUAUUGUGUGCUGUAUAACAAUAGGUGUGUUUUAUACUAGAGGUGACUGCAACUUUAUAUUGUAUACAAAAAACUAUGUUAAAAGAACAUUAAGGCAGCAAAGUCAAACACUCAAAAGUUAAGAAAUGGCUGAAUUAAGGUAGUCUGUGCUGUCUCAGUGCCAGUCUCCUUAAUCACGAAAAAGCACAUCCUUGACCCAAAAGCUAGCUCUCUGCCACAUUUAAAGGCCCUGUCUAAAGGAUCUGAGAUAGAGCCUCUCAAAGAAAAGCGCAGAACAGAGUAUUUUUCUCUAGCCUUAUUUCUGAAAAUAUCCAAACUCUUGGCUGAAAUUUUAAAAAAACAAUUCAGCUGAAAGAUGACACCCAGCCUGGAAAAAGGUCAGCCCCGAUAGUUAAAAUCUGACAAAAUGAUAAACUGAAAAUGUCAGUCAAAUAAUAGGAGGAGCUACCAGCCCUGCCUAUAGUGUGUGUAUGCUAAAGUGCUGAGCCUCUUUUUCACUGAAAGGCACCAAACUUAUAGUAGUUUCAGUAUUACUGCUAUUACUUCUUAGCCUGGAUCAACACAUUUUCAUUAGAGGUGCUGUUUCUUACAAUACCUUAAUUCCAUUGAAGCCAGUCCUAGUGAAUAGCUGUUGUUUUGAAUGGAAUCAGUACAGCAGUUGAUAUGGCCCUCUCUAUAUGAAGGAAAAGGAAGGGGGACAGUUUUCUGCCAUCAGUACAAAGAGACAGGAAUUUACAGGAUAAAAGCAUCUUAAUGUUACUGAAGGGAAGUAUUUGAUCAUUAAGAUAGUACACAGUUUAGUUUAAUAGUCACAGUUAGACUCAAUUAUAUGUUUUCCUCCCUUCUGUUCCCC
This is a long non-coding RNA of Trachemys scripta elegans, 2022 nucleotides long. RefSeq lists it as uncharacterized. NCBI's taxonomy places the organism in Eukaryota, Metazoa, Chordata, Testudines, Emydidae. The transcript is spliced from 6 exons. The record is from RefSeq and is a predicted model, not a curated record.